Molecule: ribosomal RNA, 465 nt
Filed under: uncultured bacterium
Lineage: Bacteria
Description: partial 16S ribosomal RNA
Rfam family: Bacterial small subunit ribosomal RNA
Source: RNAcentral
GACGAACGCUGGCGGCGUGCUUAACACAUGCAAGUCGAACGGAAAGGCCCCUUUGGGGGUACUCGAGUGGCGAACGGGGGAGUAACACGGGAGUAACCUGCCCUUGACUUCGGGAUAACUUCAGGAAACUGGGGCAAAUACCGGAUAGGAAUCCUUGCUGCAUGGUGGGGGUUGGUAAGCUUCGGCGGUUUUGGAUGGAAUCACGGCUUAUCAGCUUGUUGGUGGGGUAGUGGCUUACCAAGGCUUUGACGGGUAGCCGGCCUGAGAGGGCGACCGGCCACAUUGGGACUGAGAUACGGCCCCGACUCCUACGGGAGGCAGCAGUGGGGAAUAUUGCACAAUGGGCGGAAGCCUGAUGCAGCAACGCCGCGUGCGGGAUGACGGCCUUCGGGUUGUAAACCGCUUUCAGCAGGGGCGAAGCUUGUGGUGACGGUACCUGCAGAAGAAGCACCGGCUAACUACGUG